CAUUCAGUUGCCAUCGGGUGGAAGCCGGGCACUCUGGAAGGACUGCCAUCGACAAGAUGGAGGAAGGUGGGGACGACGUCAAGUCAUCAUGGCCCUUAUGUCCAGGGCGACACACGUGCUACAAUGGCCGGCACAACGGGAAGCGAGUUCGCGAGGACGAGCGGAUCCCUUAAAGCCGGUCGCAGUUCGGAUUGAAGUCUGCAACUCGACUUCAUGAAGCUGGAAUCGCUAGUAAUCGCAGAUCAGCCAAGCUGCGGUGAAUACGUUCCCGGGCCUU
RNAcentral lists this ribosomal RNA (277 nucleotides) under uncultured Synergistaceae bacterium. Its description in RNAcentral is "partial 16S ribosomal RNA". It matches the Rfam family "Bacterial small subunit ribosomal RNA", at positions 1108 to 1382 of the family's 1533-position model. The record is from RNAcentral. Lineage: Bacteria; Thermotogati; Synergistota; Synergistia; Synergistales; Synergistaceae.